Molecule: transfer RNA, 72 nt
Filed under: Bos taurus (domestic cattle)
Lineage: Eukaryota; Metazoa; Chordata; Mammalia; Artiodactyla; Bovidae
Also listed under: 5 other names
Rfam family: tRNA
About the family: Transfer RNA (tRNA) molecules are approximately 80 nucleotides in length. Their secondary structure includes four short double-helical elements and three loops (D, anti-codon, and T loops).
Source: Rfam by way of RNAcentral
UCCCUGGUGGCUCAGAUGGUAAAGCGUCUGCCUGUAAUGCAGGAGACCUGGGUUCAAUCCUUGACUUGGGAA